Molecule: ribosomal RNA, 495 nt
Filed under: uncultured bacterium
Lineage: Bacteria
Description: bacterial SSU rRNA
Rfam family: Bacterial small subunit ribosomal RNA
Source: RNAcentral
AGAGAAUAGAUACCCAGGUAGUCCACGCCGUAAACGAUGUGUGUUUGUCGCCGGGAAGUUCACUUUUCGGUGACGCAGCUAAACGCGUUAAGCACACCGCCUGGGAAGUACGGCCGCAAGGUUAAAACUCAAAGGAAUUGACGGGGACCCGCACAAGCGGUGGAGUAUGUGGUUUAAUUCGUCGCAACGCGAAGAACCUUACCAGGCCUUGACAUGCCCUCUAUGGGCCCCAGAGACGGGGUCCUUCACUUCGGGUGGGAGGGACACAGGUGCUGCAUGGCUGUCGUCAGCUCGUGUCGUGGGAUGUUGGGUUAAGUCCCGCAACGAGCGCAACCCCUUUUGUCAGUUGCCAACAGGUAAUGCUGGGAACUCUGACGAUACUGCCGGUGAUAAGCCGGAGGAAGGCGGGGAUGACGUCAAGUCCUCAUGGCCCUUACGGCCUGGGCUACACACGUACUACAAUGGUGGUGACAAUGGGCAGCUAGCCAGCGAUGG